CCUGCCCCUAGAGGCAUGGCAGGUGUGGCUGCCAUCUCACAUGUGCGUCAGUAAGUGGCAGAGAGGAGAGAGGCUGUGCCUACUCUCAGUGUUCUGCCUUAUGAACAUCUGAAUGAUUAGUAGCCUAACAUU
This is a small nucleolar RNA of Mastomys coucha (southern multimammate mouse), 132 nucleotides long. RefSeq annotates it as small nucleolar RNA SNORA17. The record is from RefSeq and is a predicted model, not a curated record. The transcript has a single exon. NCBI's taxonomy places the organism in Eukaryota, Metazoa, Chordata, Mammalia, Rodentia, Muridae.